This 302-nucleotide non-coding RNA is filed under the name Macaca nemestrina (pig-tailed macaque). The record is from RNAcentral. Lineage: Eukaryota; Metazoa; Chordata; Mammalia; Primates; Cercopithecidae.
UGAGGCAGGAGAAUCGCUUGAACCCAGGAGGCAGAGGUUGCAGUGAGCUGAGAUCACGCCACUGCACUGCAGCCUGGGCGACAGAGUGAGACUCUGUCUCAAUAAUAAUAAAAUAAUAAUAAUAAUAAUAAAUUUUUUUUUUUUUUUUUUUUUUUUGAGACGGAGUCUCGCUCUGUCGCCCAGGCUGGAGUGCAGUGGCGCGAUCUCGGCUCACUGCAAGCUCCGCCUCCCGGGUUCACGCCAUUCUCCUGCCUCAGCCUCCCGAGUAGCUGGGACUACAGGCGCCCACAACCGCGCCCGGC